AGAUUAAAAAUCAUGAAGAUUUUUGUGGAUUAUGGUCUCGAAAUUUUGGAUUUUGGAAACAAGUGAGGUUUUCUUAAAUAUCUAUCAAUCUGCUAAUUAGAUUAAAGAAAUUUUUUUUACAAAGGUAGUCAAUUUGAUUUUUAAUAAGUAUAUAAAGUUUGAAAGUAAAUCAAUAGUUAAAUUAGGAGUAAUUGGCUUUUAGAGAUUAGCAUCAAGGUCAGAGAAAAAGACCAGUUGAUACUUGAUCACAUUUUUGAGAUUAUCAUCUAUUUGGUGAUUCCGAUCAUUUUUAAUUUUUUUGAUUAUCAAAAAUAAUUUUUUAUAAUUUAUAAUUUUUUAUUUUUUAAUUUACGAAUGUAAAAAAUUUGAUUUAAAAAUAAUAAUUCAAAUAUUAGUUAUUAGAUUUCAAAAUCUAUUGUAAGGUUGUAAAAAAUUUGUUUGAGAUGUAAAAAAUUGAUUAAGAUUUGAUUAGAGUUAGGAUUUGAUUAAGAUUUAGCUUUUGGUUAGAGUUAGGAUUUGAUUUGAUU
This 527-nucleotide long non-coding RNA is filed under the name Physcomitrium patens. RNAcentral's name for it is "long non-coding RNA (PPAT_LNC013301)". Lineage: Eukaryota; Viridiplantae; Streptophyta; Bryopsida; Funariales; Funariaceae. The record is from RNAcentral.